Molecule: small nuclear RNA, 65 nt
Filed under: Prolemur simus (greater bamboo lemur)
Lineage: Eukaryota; Metazoa; Chordata; Mammalia; Primates; Lemuridae
Source: RNAcentral
GUUUUCAGCCCAGCAGCACCUAUGUUAAAAUUGGAACACUACGGAGAAGAUUAGCAUGUCCCCUG